Molecule: ribosomal RNA, 164 nt
Filed under: uncultured bacterium
Lineage: Bacteria
Description: partial 16S rRNA
Rfam family: Bacterial small subunit ribosomal RNA
Source: RNAcentral
UAGGGAAUCUUCCACAAUGGACGCAAGUCUGAUGGAGCAACGCCGCGUGAGUGAAGGAGGGUUUCGGCUCGUAAAGCUCUGUUGUUAAAGAAGAACGUGGGUAAGAGUAACUGUUUACCCAGUGACGGUAUUUAACCAGAAAGCCACGGCUAACUACGUGCCAG